AUUGAACGCUGGCGGCAUGCUUUACACAUGCAAGUCGAACGGUAACAGCACUUCGGUGGCUGACGAGUGGCGAACGGGUGAGUAAUACAUCGGAGCGUGCCUAGUAGUGGGGGAUAACUACUCGAAAGAGUAGCUAAUACCGCAUGAGAUCUAAGGAUGAAAGCAGGGGACCUUCGGGCCUUGCGCUACUAGAGCGGCUGAUGGCAGAUUAGGUAGUUGGUGGGAUAAAAGCUUACCAAGCCGACGAUCUGUAGCUGGUCUGAGAGGACGACCAGCCACACUGGGACUGAGACACGGCCCAGACUCCUACGGGAGGCAGCAGUGGGGAAUUUUGGACAAUGGGCGCAAGCCUGAUCCAGCAAUGCCGCGUGCAGGAUGAAGGCCUUCGGGUUGUAAACUGCUUUUGUACGGAACGAAAAGCCCUCUUCUAAUACAGGAGGGUCAUGACGGUACCGUAAGAAUAAGCACCGGCGAACUACGU
RNAcentral lists this ribosomal RNA (481 nucleotides) under uncultured bacterium. RNAcentral's name for it is "partial 16S ribosomal RNA". It matches the Rfam family "Bacterial small subunit ribosomal RNA", at positions 30 to 506 of the family's 1533-position model. The record is from RNAcentral.